CCUACGGGAGGCAGCAGUGGGGAAUAUUGCACAAUGGGGGGAACCCUGAUGCAGCGACGCCGCGUGGGUGAAGAAGCUCCUCGGCAUGUUAAGCCCUGUCAGCAGGGAAGAAAAUGACGGUACCUGAAGAAGAAGCCCCGGCUAACUACGUGCCAGCAGCCGCGGUAAUACGUCGGGGGGAAGCGGUAUCCGGGUUUACUGGGGGUAAAGGGGGCGUAGACGGGGAUGCAAGCCAGGAGGGAAAGCCCGGGGCCCAACCCCGGGACUGCUGUUGGAACUGCGUGGCUGGAGUGCAGGAGGGGCAGGCGGAAUGCCUGGUGUAGCGGUGAAAUGCGUAGAUAUCAGGAGGAACACCGGUGGCGAAGGCGGCCUGCUGGCCUGCAACUGACGUUGAGGCCCGAAAGCGUGGGGAGCAAACAGGAUUAGAUACCCUAGUAGUC
Molecule: ribosomal RNA, 440 nt
Filed under: uncultured bacterium
Lineage: Bacteria
Description: partial 16S ribosomal RNA
Rfam family: Bacterial small subunit ribosomal RNA
Source: RNAcentral